Molecule: ribosomal RNA, 460 nt
Filed under: uncultured bacterium
Lineage: Bacteria
Description: partial 16S ribosomal RNA
Rfam family: Bacterial small subunit ribosomal RNA
Source: RNAcentral
CCUACGGGAGGCUGCAGUGAGGAAUAUUGGUCAAUGGACGAGAGUCUGAACCAGCCAAGUAGCGUGAAGGAUGACUGCCCUAUGGGUUGUAAACUUCUUUUAUAUGGGAAUAAAACGAUCCACGUGUGGGAUUUUGUAUGUACCAUAUGAAUAAGGAUCGGCUAACUCCGUGCCAGCAGCCGCGGUAAUACGGAGGAUCCGAUCGUUAUCCGGAUUUAUUGGGUUUAAAGGGAGCGUCUGUGGAUUGUUAAUUAAGUUGUGAAAGUUUGCGGCUCAACCGUAAAAUUGCAGUUGAAACUGGCAGUCUUGAGUACAGUAGAGGUGGGCGGAAUUCGUGGUGUAGCGGUGAAAUGCUUAGAUAUCACGAAGAACUCCGAUUGCGAAGGCAGUUCACUGGACUGCAACUGACACUGAGGCUCGAAAGUGUGGGUAUCAAACAGGAUUAGAUACCCGAGUAGUA